This 1017-nucleotide long non-coding RNA is filed under the name Theobroma cacao (cacao). Its description in RNAcentral is "long non-coding RNA (TCAC_LNC001487)". Lineage: Eukaryota; Viridiplantae; Streptophyta; Magnoliopsida; Malvales; Malvaceae. The record is from RNAcentral.
UCCUCACCCAUCCAAUGCCAUUUUUCAUUCCACCUCCAUGAAAAUCAAAUUUUUCAUGUGAUUUUUCCUUGUUUUCUUUUUAUUUCUUUUCUUUUCCUAAUCCUUCAUUCUCCUAACUUCUUGGGCACUGAAUUUGCAGCUUCUAACCCCAAUUUUCAGCACAUAUAAACCCUAGGAGAGAUAGAGAAAAAUCUCUCCUUGUUUCUUAUAUUUUCUAUUUCCACUUUACUUUCAACAACUCUAGGAUUUUUGGCUUCAAAUCUUCAUUUUCAAGGUUAAAAGGUAUAUAUUUCCAACUUUUGGAAUUUUUGAAUUUAUGGUUAUAUUUUCAGAUUUAUUCUUUAAUUUCUUCAAAUUAUUUUUCUUGAAAAAAUUAGGUUUUUGGUUGAUCUUCAUGCCUCCAAACGAAAUUUAAAUUGGAGUAGUUGACAAAAUGGGUUUGUGAAUUAGACUAGAAACUUAGGUUAAAUGUUAGGUUAGAGGGUAGAUUGCCUAUUGUAAAUUCAUUAGAAUUAUUAGAUUUAAUUUACAACUUAAUUGAGGUUGUUAUGGUUUAUUGAUAAAUAUAGGUUUUAAUGGUAUUUCGGGACUACUUGGAUUAGGACCUUGUUGGUGCUAGUUUUGUCAGGUGAGUGAACUGCAUUUCAAAAUUUUUUUGGGAAUGUGACUGUUUUGUACAAAACAUUUGAAUGAUUUUAUACAACUUUAUCUUAAAACAAGUACUUUGGGAACAAGCUUUUGCUAAAUGGUUUUAUGUUGUGAUAUGUGGUUGUUAUUGAUUCAUAUACCAUUUCAUUAUGAUGAGAUAUAUAUAUAUAUAUAUAUAUGUUGUGCAUGAUAGUUGAUAUUGUGUAUGAUGACUAUAACUGUGUGUGUGCACGAUGUAGGAGGAUGCACAUGUCGGUGAUGAUGGUGGUGUGGGAGAUGGAUGAUGAUAGUGCCCGUGUGCACGAUGUGGGGGGAUGUACACGAUGGCACUGAUUGUGUACGAUGUGGGGGGAUGCACAUGAUGAUGCC